This 874-nucleotide long non-coding RNA is filed under the name Elaeis guineensis (African oil palm). Its description in RNAcentral is "long non-coding RNA (EGUI_LNC060807)". Lineage: Eukaryota; Viridiplantae; Streptophyta; Magnoliopsida; Arecales; Arecaceae. The record is from RNAcentral.
CAUCUAAUGUAUGUAUUAAACAAUAGAUCAGAUCUAUUACCUUGCAAGUUAGAUAUUCUAACCUUGUUGAUCUGGGCUUGAGAAUGAUGUUGCAAGCCGCACAUGCAUCCGGCCUCUAGGAGUCGUCCACACGAGCCCACGAAUCUCAAUCAGAAGUCCUGCUUCAGGAAAUCAGCACAGUAUGCUAGUACUGCGCUGAUCCUUCUUUGAUGGUUGAUCAGGUGCCUCCUUCUUCUUGAUUUAGACUCUUCUAAAGAUGAAAAGUAGAAGGAGGAGUUUCAAAUCUGAACACUCUUAGGAAACUCAAGAUGGAGGGAGGAAAGAUAUGAAAACAAAAACCCUAGAAGAAGACCCUCUUCUUCUUCACGUUUUUCUCUCUAGACACCCAAACUUGCAUCUUUUAUAUCUCCACUACCCAAAGGUAUUUAUCUCUAAUUUUUGGAUGGAACAAAGGUCUCUCAAAUCUAUGACUUCUCCUAAAGUUUUAUGAAGAAACUCAUCUUAUAUAGAGAGAUAUGAUAGAGUCCUUGUCUAGGUCAAACACCUAGUCAAGGCUUAUCCAAACAUGGCAAGUUAAGGGACGCCCAACUCUUGAGCACCUCCUUCAUAUUUUCAUGCACGGAUCACCAGAAAAGGAUAUACAAUGUAUACCCUAAAAGUCACAAAAAUUCCAAAAAAAAAUUUGAUAAAUUCGGUGCAAAAUUGAAAGAGUUUUGGAUUUCUAAAACUCUAUCUCAUAGAAUUCGAAAUCCAAACUUAUUCCUUUUAGAUUUGAUCCAAACCACCUUCCAUGUAAGAAAGAAGAGAGGAGACCUUUUGUAAACAUGGGAGAGACCUGGGAGAGGGCUUUUGUCGCACAAAAUAAGUGGAGAUU